GGUCAAGCUAGUAAGGGCACACGGUGGAUGCCUAUGGCGCCAAGAGCCGAUGAAGGACGCGGCGAGCUGCGAUAAGCCUCGGGGAGCCGCAAACAGGCUUUGAUCCGGGGAUAUCCGAAUGGGGCAACCCGCUCCGAUUAAUAUCGGGGCAUCUAUGGCUGAAUACAUAGGCCAUAGAGGCGAACGAGGGGAACUGAAACAUCUUAGUACCCUCAGGAAAAGAAAGCAAUAGCGAUUCCCUUAGUAGUGGCGAGCGAAACGGGAACAGCCUAAACCGUAGUUGCUUCGGCAAGUACGGGGUUGCGGGACCACAAUGUGGGAUGCGGAUAGUUAGUUGAACAGGCUGGAAAGCCUGGCCAUAGAGAGUGAUAGCCUCGUAAGCAAAAACUUGAAGCGCCCUAGUGGUAUCCCAAGUACCACGGGACACGGGAAAUCCUGUGGGAAUCUGGGAGGACCAUCUUCCAAGGCUAAAUACUACCUGACGACCGAUAGUGUACUAGUACCGUGAGGGAAAGGCGAAAAGAACCCCGGGAGGGGAGUGAAAUAGAACCUGAAACCGUUUGCUUACAAGCAGUGGGAGUCCGCCGCAAGGUGGAUGACUGCGUGCCUUUUGUAUAAUGAGUCAGCGAGUUACUCUGUGUGGCAAGGUUAAGCCGUGAGGCGGAGCCGUAGCGAAAGCGAGUCUGAAAUGGGCGUAUUAGUCGCAUGGAGUAGACCCGAAGCCGAGUGAUCUAUCCAUGGGCAGGGUGAAGUCUCGGUAACACGAGAUGGAGGCCCGAACCAGUGUAGGUUGAAAACUGCUUGGAUGACCUGUGGAUAGGAGUGAAAGGCUAAUCAAACUCGGUGAUAGCUGGUUCUCCCCGAAAUAUAUUUAGGUAUAGCCUUGCAAGUUAAGUAACGGAGGUAGAGCACUGGAUGGGCUAGGGGUCUUACCGGACUACCAAACCUAACCAAACUCCGAAUGCCGUUAACUUUAAUUGCAGGAGUCAGACUACGGGUG
This 1000-nucleotide ribosomal RNA is filed under the name bacterium. RNAcentral's name for it is "partial 23S ribosomal RNA". It matches the Rfam family "Bacterial large subunit ribosomal RNA", at positions 1 to 997 of the family's 2925-position model. The record is from RNAcentral.